Molecule: transfer RNA, 88 nt
Filed under: Lachnospiraceae bacterium
Lineage: Bacteria; Bacillati; Bacillota; Clostridia; Lachnospirales; Lachnospiraceae
Description: tRNA-Ser
Rfam family: tRNA
About the family: Transfer RNA (tRNA) molecules are approximately 80 nucleotides in length. Their secondary structure includes four short double-helical elements and three loops (D, anti-codon, and T loops). Further hydrogen bonds mediate the characteristic L-shaped molecular structure. tRNAs have two regions of fundamental functional importance: the anti-codon, which is responsible for specific mRNA codon recognition, and the 3' end, to which the tRNAs corresponding amino acid is attached (by aminoacyl-tRNA synthetases). tRNAs cope with the degeneracy of the genetic code in two manners: having more than one tRNA (with a specific anti-codon) for a particular amino acid; and 'wobble' base-pairing, i.e. permitting non-standard base-pairing at the 3rd anti-codon position.
Source: RNAcentral
GGAGUCGUAUCGAAGUGGUCACAACGAGCUUGACUCGAAAUCAAGUUGUCGGGUUUCCGGCACGUGGGUUCGAAUCCCACCGACUCCG